GAUGAACGCUGGCGGCGUGCCUAAUACAUGCAAGUCGAGCGAACAGAUGAGGAGCUUGCUCCUCUGACGUUAGCGGCGGACGGGUGAGUAACACGUGGAUAACCUACCUAUAAGACUGGGAUACUUCGGGAAACCGGAGCUAAUACCGGAUAAUAUAUUUAACCGCAUGGUUCAAUAGUGAAAGACGGUUUUGCUGUCACUUAUAGAUGGAUCCGCGCCGCAUUAGCUAGUUGGUAAGGUAACGGCUUACCAAGGCAACGAUGCGUAGCCGACCUGAGAGGGUGAUCGGCCACACUGGAACGUCACCACGCUCCAGACUCCUACGGGAGGCAGCAGUAGGGAAUCUUCCGCAAUGGGAGAAAGCUUGACGGAGCAACGCCGCGUGAGUGAUGAAGGUCUUCGGAUCGUAAAACUCUGUUAUUAGGGAAGAACAAAUGUGUAAGUAACUAUGCACGUCUUGACGGUACCUAAUCAGAAAGCCCCGGCUAACUACGUG
RNAcentral lists this ribosomal RNA (496 nucleotides) under uncultured bacterium. RNAcentral's name for it is "partial 16S ribosomal RNA". It matches the Rfam family "Bacterial small subunit ribosomal RNA", at positions 28 to 507 of the family's 1533-position model. The record is from RNAcentral.